Long non-coding RNA from Cotesia glomerata, 2664 nucleotides. RefSeq lists it as uncharacterized. NCBI's taxonomy places the organism in Eukaryota, Metazoa, Arthropoda, Insecta, Hymenoptera, Braconidae. The transcript is spliced from 5 exons. The record is from RefSeq and is a predicted model, not a curated record.
AGUAAAGGAAUAAAAAACGGCGAUCAAAUAGUUAAAAAAGUUUGUUAAACUACAAGAUUUUUCAGUGAAUAUGGCCAGGCAGCGAGUUAGAUGUAUCUGGUCCGAUGACCGUUACCAUAGAACCGUAUAGCGUGCUACAAGUAUUAUACAGAUAUAUAACUCUCAUGUAAACCUGUUCAUAAAGUGGGUUACGUGACAUCAGAAUCUAUAUGCUUCGACAGAACAUCACCUUUAUCGAAAAAAAGAAGAAAAAAAUAAAUUAAUAAUAAUGAAACUAAAGUAAUUAAAAAUUAAAUAAACCAUAAUGUUAUUUUUUACUGAUUGAUGUAAUUAAAUCCUGUCUGAAGAUUAAAGUGUUGAUGAAUAUCUUCCUCACGUAUCAGGAAGUAAAUUUUAAUUUUUAAUGCAGUAGUUUAAAUAGUUACAGGUUAGCUACUGACUGAGGGUUAUUGAUCUUAUAAAUGAAAUAAAAUAAAGCAGAUUUAACGUGAGAAGCCGUGCGAAUGUCACGGUAAAACCAUAUCCUAGUCGUCCGGGGUCAGUGUCAGCCCUCGCCUUUUUCCUGUCCAUGUCUGCGUGUUAUUAAUUCUGUUUUGUUUCAGUACAGUUCUAUUCGGGAUCGAGAAAUUCUCUAAACCAGACUAUACUAGAGACUAGAGAGUGCAAGCAGACUAUGUCAAUCCUUGUUGAGCGGAGACUUUAACGGUUGAUCGAACCGUUCAUGAUUAUCUUAUUUUUUAUUAUUUUAGUUAUCGAUAAAUAAUGAGAAGAAAUUCAAUUAGUAGAAUAUAAUUAUUUGUCAUUAAACGAGUGAAAGUAAUGUGUAUAAUUUAUCUAUUAAUUAAGUAAAAGCAGGUGGCUUUUUGCCAAUAGAAAAUUCAAUUAUUUAUUUCUUCAUUUUUAACUCCUGUUUUUAUUGACAACAUUACCGGAUUGGUGUAUUUAUCAACAAAGGUAUAAAAUAAUUAUAUUUUAUUCGGUAAUUACUGAGCGGUGAAGGAGUUUCUGUUCACUCACCGAGUACUUUGAUCUUUGCAACCGGUAAAAUGUAAUUUAUGAUUUAUUAUUAUAUUAUUAAAAACAUAGUUAAUAAACAUCUUGCCGGCAUUGACAUGGAUAUGCAUCAAAAAGAACUUUUCUUUAAGGUUAUAAGUUAUAAUAAUUUACAAAUAAUUGUUCAGGAUUAAUAUUUUAUUUAACGCUAGAAAUUAUUUGACAAUAUGCAAUUGACUUGUCAUUUACCGGGUAGAAAAUAUUAUUUGAACAAUAACAGGUGUGGCUAACACCAAGUCCAAUGUGUUGUUGAAUUACUUCAAGAGACAAGUGAGAGCAGAGAAGCAGGUGUCAAAUAAAAGUAUGCGGGAUAUAUAAAUUUAAAAUGUCGACAGUACAAAUAAUGAGUUUAGUUAAAUCAGACUUAACUCAUGACACACUAUUAAAUUAACUACCGAUAAAUAGAGAAUGAUAUUAAGUACAAAUUUAAUGAGAUUGAGGAAGAAACUAUGCAGACUGAGAAAGAGAGAUAGAGAAAUUAAAGUAACAAGUAAUGAGCCGUAAUUGGAUUACUGGAAAAAUGUUUAGUCGGAGAGAAGCGUGUCGGAAAAAGAGGAAAUGGGUGGAGAAAAGAAAAGAAUAUACGCAUAUAUAUAUAAAGAGGAAACGAGAGGUUUAAUACGUCGAGGUGGCUUCCAGCGAAGCCUGCAACCUGCUUGCCCCUUUAUGUAUAUAUUACACGGGACGUUGAAGGACUGGUGAACUACGAGACCAAAUAGGCUGAAGAACAAGCACAAUGUUGUAAAUGAAAUUUAGUUAUAUUUAAUCGCGAGAAUUACAAUUAUGAUGAACGUUAACUCACUGAAACAAAUAACAACUCGCGCUGAUGUUUACUCGAUCUCACUCUGCAAAAUAUCAUUCCGAGCUCCUCUCUGGACUUUGACGACGUGGAGGAUGAGUAAAGAGAGAAGUAGCGAGCAACAGUAAGUAGAGGAGGAGAAGAGAAACCGCGACGUUGAGAUUACCUCGGGAGAGGCUGCGUUGACGGUCUUUUUACACUGGUACACUGGUACCGUGUAUAGUAGACUGAGACAACGGGACACAGGGCUAAAAAUUAAAGGUUUUAGUCAAGUACUACUAUACAGAACACUGGGCACUGCUCACUGGACACUGGUAUUCGUUCAGUCGUUAGACACACAGCAGCGGCAGCAGGCCACGGUGACCGGCACAUUAACACGUCCGCUCGGUGAGUUUCGACGAGACUCGGGCCCCGGUUUGCCAGGUGGAAGAGGUAGAAACCCCCCUUGUACCUCCCCGUACCGCUUAUCGCUACCUGAGUGCCUGUGCCAGCGACUGUCUGUGUAGAAGUGUGCUGGCUGUAAGCAGUAUGGAUACGUAUACCAAGUUUCAUUUACUAUUCAGCUUGCUCAAAGUAGAAAGAGAUAAAAGAAAACAUAAACCAAGACUCCAUGACCAAGCCGCCGCCCCAGCACUACUCGACGGUUCUUUUUUCAUUUCAUUUCGUUUAUUAUUAUUCUCUUAUACUUAUUAAUCUUACUGAACAUACUUCAUUGCAUAUCUUAUCACAUCGAGCGUUUCUUUAGAGUUUCAAUCCAAACGUCUAUUAAAAUAUUAUAUACAGUUUUUUAAAUUAUACAAUUUAUAUUUUUU